AGAGUUUGAUCCUGGCUCAGGAUGAACGCUGGCGGCGUGCCUAACACAUGCAAGUCGAACGGAGAUUACAGACGGAAGUUUUCGGAUGGAAGACUGUAAUUCUUAGUGGCGGACGGGUGAGUAACGCGUGGGCAACCUGCCCUAUACAGGGGGAUAGCAGCUGGAAACGGCUGGUAAGACCGCAUAAGUCGGUUAAAUCGCAUGAUUUGAUCGGGAAAUGAGCAAUCAGGUAUAGGAUGGGCCCGCGUCCGAUUAGCCAGUUGGCAGGGUAAAAGCCUACCAAAGCAACGAUCGGUAGCCGGACUGAGAGGUCGGACGGCCACAUUGGGACUGAGACACGGCCCAAACUCCUACGGGAGGCAGCAGUGGGGGAUAUUGCACAAUGGAGGAAACUCUGAUGCAGCGACGCCGCGUGAGUGAAGAAGUAUUUCGGUAUGUAAAGCUCUAUCAGCAGGGAAGAUGAUGACGGUACCUGACUAAGAAGCCCCGGCUAACUACGUGCCAGCAGCCGCGGUAAUACGUAGGGGGCAAGCGUUAUCCGGAUUUACUGGGUGUAAAGGGAGCGCAGGCGGUUUUGCAAGUUGAGAGUGGAAGCAGGGGGCUCAACCCCCUGACUGCUCCCAAAACUGUAGGACUUGAGUAUGGGAGAGGCAGGCGGAAUUCCUAGUGUAGCGGUGAAAUGCUUAGAUAUUAGGAAGAACACCGGUGGCGAAGGCGGCCUGCUGGACCAAAACUGACGCUGAGGCUCGAAAGCGUGGGUAGCAAACAGGAUUAGAUACCCUGGUAGUCCACGCUGUAAACGAUGAAUACUAGGUGCUGGGAGGCAUAAGCUUUUCGGUGCCGUCGCAAACGCAUUAAGUAUUCCACCUGGGGAGUACGUUCGCAAGAAUGAAAC
RNAcentral lists this ribosomal RNA (895 nucleotides) under Fusobacterium sp. CM21. RNAcentral describes it as "bacterial SSU rRNA". It matches the Rfam family "Bacterial small subunit ribosomal RNA", at positions 8 to 900 of the family's 1533-position model. Lineage: Bacteria; Fusobacteriati; Fusobacteriota; Fusobacteriia; Fusobacteriales; Fusobacteriaceae. The record is from RNAcentral.